AACGAACGCUGGCGGCAUGCCUAACACAUGCAAGUCGAACGAGACCUUCGGGUCUAGUGGCGCACGGGUGCGUAACGCGUGGGAACCUGCCCUUAGGUUCGGAAUAACUCCCCGAAAGGGGUGCUAAUACCGGAUAAUGUCUUCGGACCAAAGAUUUAUCGCCUUUGGAUGGGCCCGCGUUGGAUUAGCUAGUUGGUAGGGUAAAAGCCUACCAAGGCGACGAUCCAUAGCUGGUCUGAGAGGAUGAUCAGCCACACUGGGACUGAGACACGGCCCAGACUCCUACGGGAAGCAGCAGUGGGGAAUAUUGGACAAUGGGCGAAAGCCUGAUCCAGCAAUGCCGCGUGAGUGAUGAAGGCCUUAGGGUUGUAAAGCUCUCUUACCCGGGAUGAUAAUGACAGUACCGGGAGAAUAAGCUCCGGCUAACUCCGUG
RNAcentral lists this ribosomal RNA (433 nucleotides) under uncultured bacterium. RNAcentral's name for it is "partial 16S ribosomal RNA". It matches the Rfam family "Bacterial small subunit ribosomal RNA", at positions 29 to 507 of the family's 1533-position model. The record is from RNAcentral.